CGCCAUCGGGGUGGCGCUGUACCACGUGGCGCUGCGGCUGCCGCUGGCCCGGCUCGGCGCGGCGUUCGGGAUCAUCGCGUUGGGGA
Molecule: transfer RNA, 86 nt
Filed under: Streptomyces smaragdinus
Lineage: Bacteria; Bacillati; Actinomycetota; Actinomycetes; Kitasatosporales; Streptomycetaceae
Description: Streptomyces sp. RB5 tRNA-Arg
Source: RNAcentral